Molecule: unclassified non-coding RNA, 304 nt
Filed under: fungal sp.
Lineage: Eukaryota; Fungi
Description: partial internal transcribed spacer region
Rfam family: Eukaryotic small subunit ribosomal RNA (bases 1-46)
Source: RNAcentral
AAGUCGUAACAAGGUAACCGUAGGUGAACCUGCGGUUGGAUCAUUAACAAAAAAUUGGAAGGCUUUUCUGAAUACUCUUUGGAAAAGCCUUUUAAAAACACCAAUUGUGAACUGUAUUAUUGUUUCUUUUCUGUGGUUUUAUCAUGAACUUUAGCACACCCCGCUGGUUUUUGAUAGCCCAGAAAAAACCCCUUUUUAAACUAAAGAAUUAUACCAUUUUGACCAUUAAAUAAAAGUUUGAAAUUUUUUUUAAACAUUAAAUAAAUUAAAAAAACAACUUUUGGCAACGGAUCUCUAGGCUCUU